This 504-nucleotide ribosomal RNA is filed under the name uncultured bacterium. RNAcentral's name for it is "bacterial SSU rRNA". It matches the Rfam family "Bacterial small subunit ribosomal RNA", at positions 19 to 518 of the family's 1533-position model. The record is from RNAcentral.
AUGGCUCAGGAUGAACGCUAGCGGCAGGCUUAACACAUGCAAGUCGAGGGGCAGCGCGAGUAGCAAUACUUGGCGGCGACCGGCGCAAGGGUGCGUAACGCGUGAGCAACAUGCCCGUAUCAGGGGGAUAAUCCAGGGAAACUUGGUCUAAUACCCCAUAGUAAUUUUGUAAGGCAUCUUAUAAGAUUUAAAGCUUUGGUGGAUACGGAUUGGCUCGCGUGACAUUAGCUGGAUGGUAAGGUAACGGCUUACCAUGGCUAUGAUGUCUAGGGGUUCUGAGAGGAAGGUCCCCCACACUGGAACUGAGACACGGUCCAGACUCCUACGGGAGGCAGCAGUGAGGAAUAUUGGACAAUGGAUGGAAAUCUGAUCCAGCCAUGCCGCGUGAAGGAAGAAGGUCCUAUGGAUUGUAAACUUCUUUUGUAUGGGAGCAAUAAGGCCUACGAGUAGGUUGAUGAGAGUACCAUACGAAUAAGCACCGGCUAACUCCGUGCCAGCCGCAGC